GAUGAACGCUGGCGGCGUGCCUAACACAUGCAAGUCGAACGGAGUCCAGCCUUUAAGACCUUCGGGUCAAAGAGGGGAAGACUGAGUGGCGGACGGGUGAGUAACACGUGGGCAACCUGGCUCAUAGAGGGGGAUAACAGAGAGAAAUUUCUGCUAAUACCGCAUAAGCACACACUGCCGCAUGGCAGAGGGUGAAAAGAGAAUCGCUAUGAGAUGGACCCGCGUCUGAUUAGCCAGUUGGCAGGGUAAGAGCCUACCAAAGCGACGAUCAGUAGCCGAUCUGAGAGGAUGAACGGCCACAUUGGGACUGAGACACGGCCCAAACUCCUACGGGAGGCAGCAGUGGGGGAUAUUGCACAAUGGGGGGAACCCUGAUGCAGCGACGCCGCGUGAGUGAAGAAGUAUUUCGGUAUGUAAAGCUCUAUCAGCAGGGAAGAUAAUGACAGUGCCUGAAUAAGAAGCCCCGGCUAACUACGUG
Molecule: ribosomal RNA, 478 nt
Filed under: uncultured bacterium
Lineage: Bacteria
Description: partial 16S ribosomal RNA
Rfam family: Bacterial small subunit ribosomal RNA
Source: RNAcentral